RNAcentral lists this non-coding RNA (31 nucleotides) under Homo sapiens (human). Lineage: Eukaryota; Metazoa; Chordata; Mammalia; Primates; Hominidae. The record is from RNAcentral.
UACACUUUGAUGAACUGAACAAGCUGAGGGU